RNAcentral lists this long non-coding RNA (24515 nucleotides) under Triticum aestivum (bread wheat). Its description in RNAcentral is "long non-coding RNA (TAES_LNC008893)". The record is from RNAcentral. Lineage: Eukaryota; Viridiplantae; Streptophyta; Magnoliopsida; Poales; Poaceae.
UCAUCGAACACUUGGAGUCGGGACGCUUUGCUAGAAACCGCUACCAACUGGUCAAGCCGAAUGCGAUCUGACUCGCAAUCAAGUGGACGAGAACAUAAGGAGUCGCGCGCUAAAGGAAAAAGGAACCUAUGAGGUCGGGUCCGACUUCACUGGUCCCUAAGAUCAUACCGUCGUGCAUAAUAGAAGGGAAUACAUACAAGGCAUACAAAUGCCGCAAGAAUACAUCAAUACAUCAUACCUAAGAUCCACAUCCGACUACGGAUGAAACACAAACAGAAGCUCAAACGACAUCCACCCUGCUAGCCCAGGCUGCCGACCUGGAACCUAUCCCCUGAUCGAAGAAGAAGCAGAAGAAGAACUCCAAAACAAGUAACAUCGCUCUCGCGUCAUGAUCAUCGCAAAACCUGUACCUGCAACUGGUGUUGUAGUAAUCUGUGAGCCACGAGGACUCAGCAAUCCCAUUACCAUGGGUAUCAAGACUAGCAAAGCUUAAUGGGUAAGGAAGGGGUAAAGUGGUGAGGUUGCAGGAGCGACUAAGCAAGUAUGGUGGCUAACAUACGCAAAUAAGAGCGAGAAGAGAAACAACGGAACGGUCGUCAACUUGUAAUGAUCAAGAAGUGAUCCUGAACUCCUACUUACGUCAAGCAUAACCCAUAAACCGUGUACACUUCCCGGACUCCGCCGAGAAGAGACCAUCAUGGCUACACACGCGGUUGAUGCGUUUUAUUUAAGUCAAGUGUCAAGUUCUCUACAACCGGAUAUUAACAAAUUCCCAUCUGCCACAUAACCGCGGGCACGGCUCUCAAAAGUUUAUACCCUGCAGGGGUGUCCCAACUUAGCCCAUUAUAAGCUCUCACGGUCAACGAAGGAUAUUCCUUCUCCCGGGAAGACCCGAUCAAUCUCGGAAUCCCGGUUACAAGACAUUUCAACAAUGGUAAAACAAGUCCAGCAAAGCCGCCCGAUGUGUCGACAAUCUCGAUAGGAGUCGCACGUAUCUCGUUCUCAGGACACACCGGAUGAGCUAAGCUUACAGGUACCGACGUAACCCAAGUUGCCAAGUGAUGGUCCCGCACGAUGCUCUAGUUUGGACCAAUACUUAGACAAGCACUGGCCCGGGGGGGGGUAAAAUAAAGAUGACCCUCGGGAUGCGCGACUCCCAAGGGAAAAAAGGCUAGGUGAGGCAAAUGUAAAACCAAGGUUGGGCCUUGCUGGAAGAGUUUUAUUCAAAGCGAACUGUCAAGGGGGUCCCAUAAAUCACCCAACCGCGUAAGGGACGCAAAAACAAGGAACAUAACACCGAUAUGACGGAAACUAGGGCGGCAAGAGUGGAACAAAAUGCCAGGCAUAGGGCCGAGCCUUCCACCCUUUACCAAGUAUAUAGAUGCAUUAAUUAAAUAAGAGGUAUUGUGAUAUCCCAACAUAAACAUAAUCCAACACGGAGUAAUCUUCAUCUUCACCUGCAACUAGCAACGCUAUAAGAGGGGCUGAGCAAAAGUGGUAACAUAGCCAAACAACGGUUUGCUAGGAAGGGUGACAAAGGUUAGAGGUUCAUGGCAAUUUGGGAGGCUUGAAGAGCAAGUGAUAGGUGGCGCAGCAAAGCGAUAGAACGAAGCAACUAGCAUAGCAAUGAUAGUAAUGAGAUCCAAGGUGAUGGUCAUCUUGCCUGAAAUCCCGCUAGGAAGAAGAACGAGUCCAUGAAGAAGAUGAAGCCACGAAGACGAACCAAGCGUAGACGAACGAAUCCUCACGAUCGCAACGAAACGGGAACUAUCGAGAAGAAGCACACAACAUGGUGAACACACCACACAUGAACAGGGCAUGAUGCUCAACCAAGUAUGAUGCAUGACCAGUCUAUAUGAAGCUACUCAUGGCAAGAGAUGAUGCAUACAAGAACAACACAUCAAAGCAAGUUUAAAUGAGGCCGGAAACAACAUAGAACAAAUCCGGUAAGUCCUCAUAUGCAAAUUUCGAAAUUGGUCCAGAUCUGAAUAACCUUAUGUUCAAGUUGUUAAACAGCAAGUUUAAAUGUACCAAGAUGUUCUACACGAAAUUCUAGUCAAGUUACAUAUAAAGUUUAUUAGAUUCGGAGCUACGGCCUAAAAGAUAUGAGCAAAACAAGCUAAACAUGGCAUUGAUGCAAAAUGCAUACAAACAUCAAGGAAACACCUCAAAAUAAGGAUGCAACAUGAUAAUAUGCGACUACAUGCAAAACUAAGCAAGUUUCAUAUAGAGCACACUCCAAACGGAGCAACGGUGCGACACAUACACUCCAAACAAGAUAUAACAACAAACUGUCCAAACCAGCAACUAGGCAUCUAGCAAGCAUCAAAACAAUAUGCUACAGCAACUCAACAUGAAAACAAAAGUCAUGGACGUGAUGUACAGGUAAAGCAUGACAAAACAUGAACACUGAGCUAUCUCCAGAAAUCACUAGAACAUGCUCAAAAGGACAUGGGAAGAUUGCAAAUAAUAACAGAUUCACAGACUUAGCAGAAAUUACUGGACAUGACAGAAAUAACAUCAGGUUGCAAAGUUUAGAGCUAUCAAACAACAUUCUACAGGAACACAUCAUAGCAAACAAAGACAUGGCAUGAAUCUAGUAAUUUCCUAAAACAAAAGUACCUUACUGACCAUGAGCCAAAAAGGCACAGAAGAUACGAUGGCACCCAUGUAAACAUAGCAAGUUUCGUUAAAAGGUUUCAGACUUGGCAGAAAACAGAGCAUGGCAGUAACAGAAAUUAUGAGGGCAUCUUGGUGAGUUGAUUCACUCACCACAAAGCAAUGCAUGACAAAACAAGGAUACCUACAGCAAGAUGGCAUGUUUAUGAAGCUAACCAUGGCAAGAGAAAAUACAUAGCAUGUAUGGAUCAACUACAACAACCUUGGAAAAAAUUGAAUAUCAUGUUAACAAUCUGCCAGGAAUAUUUUAUAGCAAAAGUAGAGUAAGAUUAAGACAUGCUAGGGCACUCCAUAAUUGCAAACAGGGGCAUUAAUGGAUAUAGCACAACUAUAUCUAUAAAACAUCAUUACUGAACAUGCCCAAAAUAAGCAUGGAUCUUACUGUAGACACAUGGAUACAUGGCAACAAAAUAAAAGCAGAUAAAGGACUUAGCAAAAUCCUAAGUCUCUGAAAACAGAAACAUCACGAAGCCUAGUUUGCAUGCUUGGGCUAGUCACCACAUAGAUCACAAAAAAACAUGGCAUACACCUCUGUAAAGAUGGCAUGUCAUAGAUCAAAACACCUGUAGAGCUCAUACCCAUAAGAUGCACACAUCAAUUGCAACAAAAAUAACAAAUCACCAAGUUCUGAUAAAAUAACAGCAGUAAACAUCAUAUAGCACUCUUGCACCAGAGAUUUAGGCAUCAAGAUGGACUCAAACGGGAAUGGCACAAUGGAACAAAAUGAAGAGCAUCUUGUAAUGAACAUUUCGAUAUAUCACACGCAUGAAACGGAGCAGUAUGCAAAGAGUUAUGGUAGGUCAUAUUAUGCACCAGAAUGCAAUAUUUUCAGGACUUGGAGANNNNNNNNNNNNNNNNNNNNNNNNNNNNNNNNNNNNNNNNNNNNNNNNNNNNNNNNNNNNNNNNNNNNNNNNNNNNNNNNNNNNNNNNNNNNNNNNNNNNNNNNNNNNNNNNNNNNNNNNNNNNNNNNNNNNNNNNNNNNNNNNNNNNNNNNNNNNNNNNNNNNNNNNNNNNNNNNNNNNNNNNNNNNNNNNNNNNNNNNNNNNNNNNNNNNNNNNNNNNNNNNNNNNNNNNNNNNNNNNNNNNNNNNNNNNNNNNNNNNNNNNNNNNNNNNNNNNNNNNNNNNNNNNNNNNNNNNNNNNNNNNNNNNNNNNNNNNNNNNNNNNNNNNNNNNNNNNNNNNNNNNNNNNNNNNNNNNNNNNNNNNNNNNNNNNNNNNNNNNNNNNNNNNNNNNNNNNNNNNNNNNNNNNNNNNNNNNNNNNNNNNNNNNNNNNNNNNNNNNNNNNNNNNNNNNNNNNNNNNNNNNNNNNNNNNNNNNNNNNNNNNNNNNNNNNNNNNNNNNNNNNNNNNNNNNNNNNNNNNNNNNNNNNNNNNNNNNNNNNNNNNNNNNNNNNNNNNNNNNNNNNNNNNNNNNNNNNNNNNNNNNNNNNNNNNNNNNNNNNNNNNNNNNNNNNNNNNNNNNGGGCCGGCGGCGGAGGAGCCCACGUGGCACGACCGGAUUGGCGCGGGCGGCGGCGGCGACUGUGUCCGGCGCGGAGAGAGGAGCGGGGCUAGGGUUUGGACUGCGAAAAUGGACGGGGAAGGCCUUUAAAUAGGUAGAGGGAGCUAGGAGAGUCCAAAUGGGGUGCGGCUUUCGCCCACACGAUCGUGAUCGAACGACCGAGAGCAUGGAGGGGGUUUUGCUGGGUUAGUGGGCUGAUUUGGAGGGGUGUUGGGCUGCAAGACAAAAGGGGCUUCGGGCUACGCGGUCAACCGUUGGGGCAUCAAACGACCUACAAAUGGAACGAAAUUUGACGGGCGGUCUGUCGGUGCUAUACCAAGGCCACUCGGCAAAUCUCGGCCCAUUUCGAGAAGGUUUUUCUCCCACUCACGAAACAAGGUCUGAGAGGGGCGACGGGCGCGCGCGAGAGUGUCGGAUCGCGAAACGGACAACGAGGAAAAAGACCGGAUGCAAGUUUUGAAAAACAUGAUGAUGCAAUGCAGAUGAUGACAUGGCAAAAUGCAACACGCAAGAAAAUGACAUGGCAACAACGACGAAUAACUGGAAGACACCUGGCGCAUCGGAUCCGGGGCGUUACAGCUUAGCACUUGAUCGUUUAGUUUACUGCUAUAUCUUUCUUCACGACAUAUACAUGUUCCUAUGACUAUGAGAUUAUGCAACUCCCGAUUACCGAAGGAACACUUUGUGUGCUACCAAACGUCACAACGUAACUGGGUGAUUAUAAAGGUGCUCUAUAGGUGUCUCCAAUGGUACUUGUUGAGUUGGCAUAGAUCGAGAUUAGAAUUUGUCACUCCGAUAGUCGGAGAGGUAUCUCUGGGCCCUCUCGGUAAUGCACAUCACUAUAAGCCUUGCAAGCAAUGUGACUAAUGAGCUAGUUGCGGGAUGAUGCAUUACGGAAUGAGUAAAGAUACUUUCCGGUAUCGAGAUUGAGCUAGGUAUUGAGAUACCGACGAUCGAAUCUCAGGCAAGUAACAUAUCGAUGACAAAGGGAACAACGUAUGUUGCUAUGCGGUUUGACCAAUAAAGAUCUUCGUAGAAUAUGUAGGAACCAAUAUGAGCAUCCAGGUUCCGCUAUUGGUUAUUGACCGGCGACGUGUCUCGGUCAUGUCUACAUAGUUCUCGAACCCGUAGGGUCCGCACGCUUAAAGUUCUGUGACGAUCGGUAUUAUGAGUUUAUAUGUUUUGAUGUACUGAAGAUAGUUCGGAGUCCCAAAUAUGAUCACGGACAUGACGAGGAGUCUCGAAAUGGUCGAGACAUAAAGAUUGAUAUAUUGGAAGCCUAUAUUUGGACGUCGGAAGAGUUCUGGGUGAAAUCGGGAUUUUACCGGAGUGCCGGAGGGGUUAUCGGAACCCCCGGGGGGUUAAUGGGCCUAGUUGGGCCCUAGUGGAGAGAGAGAGGGGCCGACCAGGGCAGGCCGCGUGCCCCCUCCCCCUUUGGUCUGAAUUGGACUAGGAAGGGGGGCGACGCCCCCCUUUCCAUCUCCUUCUCCCCCUUCCUUUCCCCCUCCUAGUAGGAGUAGGAAAGAGGGGAGUCCUACUCCUACUAGGAGGAGGGCUCCUCCUCCUGGCGCGCCCUACAGGGGCCGGCCAGCCUCCCCCCUUGCUCCUUUAUAUACGGGGGCAGGGGGCACCCUAGAACAGACAAGUUGAUCAUUGAUCUCUCCCAGCCGUGUGCGGUGCCCCCUCCACCAUAAUCCACCUCGGUCAUAUCGUAGCGGUGCUUAGGCAAAGCCCUGCGACGGUAGCUUCAUCAACAUCGUCACCACGCCAUCGUGCUGACGAAACUCUCCCUCGAGCUCUACUGGAUCAUGAGUUCGCGGGACGUCACCGAGCUGAACGUGUGCUGAACGCGGAGGUGCCGUACGUUCGGUACUGAGGAUCGGUCGAUCGUGAAGACGUACGACUACAUCAACCGCGUUGUCAUAACGCUUCCGCUUAACGGUCUACGAGGGUACGUGGACGACCCUCUCGUUGCUACGCAUCACCAUGAUCUUGCGUGUGCGUAGGAAUUUUUUUUUGAAAUUACCACGUUCCCCAACACUAUCCACUGUUUGCUACCAUCACUCUGGAUUUGUGCAUGCACUCCUUACAUAAUCUCACUAUGUUUUAUUCCUAUGCAUGUCAGUUAUUGUACACAAUGGAGCUGAACAUGUAGAGCAAAAGAGACGAGCCUUGCGUGGCAAUAAAAUUUCAUGCAGACGUCGCUCCAUGGUGGGCGCAAAGGCAGCCCCCCCUCCACCCAUUUCGGAUCAUAAUCAAGAGGAAGAUAACUGUUCUGAGGGGGAUUCAGAAGCAGAAGACCACUCCUAUUUACCCCAUGAGGUCUUCGCUCUAACUUGGCAUGCUGAUGUUGGUAAUAUCAUGCAUAUGGUGCCUUGCAUUGCUUACUGUAUACAUCAAAGAUGUCAUCUGCUUAGUUUAGACAUGCUUUGUGUCAAUGCCAUCUGUUUAGUUUCUUUAUCGUAUAUGUGAAUCAUGCAAUGCCAUCUUGUUUAGCCAGGAAUCAUAUAUGUGAAUUUUGCAAUGCCACCCUGGUUAGCCAGUCAUCUUAUAUGUGAAUUAUAUCAUGACAUCAUUUUUUAUUACGUGUUAAAUUUGUCAACAAUUUUAGUACAUUCAAUUACUCUUCCUGUGCAUCAGCCAUUCGGCACGGUCAUGGAAAAAUCUAGAGUGGAAACAAGGUCUUCAGAGCAGACAAUGCUAUCUGACGAAGCGCAUGUCUUGCUGGUUACAGAUAGCUUCUCAGAGGAGGAUUCAGAGACAGAUGACCAGUCCUAUUCCCCCCCCACCGAGGUGCACGCUCUAACUUGGCAGGGUUAUGUUGCUCAUAUCGUACGUAUGGUAUCUUGCAUUGCUAUGUCAUUUGCUUAGUUUAGACAUGCUUUGUGUGAAUGCCACCUAUUUAGUGUCUAAUUACCAUAUAUGUGAAUUAUGCAACGCCAUCUUGUUGCAAGACAUUAUAUAUGUGAAUUAUGCAAUGCUAUCUUGUUGCAAGGCAUUAUAUAUGUGAAUUAUGCAAUGCCAUGCUGUUUAGCCAAGCGUCAUAUAUGUGAAUUAUAUCAUGCCGUCCUUUUUUUGUAUUUCUCAUUGCUUUUGUCGACAAUGUUUGUAUAUUCAACUGCUCUUCCUGUGCAUCAGCCAUUUGAAUUGGUGAUGGAGAAAUCUGGAGUGAAAACAAGGUCUUCAGAGCAGACAAUGCUACCUGCUGAAGCAGAUAUUUUGCUGGUUACAGAUAGCUCUUCAGAGGAGGAUUCAGAGGCAGAUGACUAGUCCUAUUAUCCCCCUGAGGUGUAUGCUCAAACUUGGCAGGGUUAUAUUACUCAUAUCAUGCAUAUGUUGUAUUGCAAUACUUAGUUUUUACAUCAUAUACACGAUAUUGAAUGCCAUCUCCUUAGUUGAUACAUCAUAUAUGCGAUUGCCCUAUGCUCACUUCCUUAGUAUAUAAAUCAUAUAUUUGAAUUAUAUCAUGCCAUGAUGUUUACAUAGACAGCAUGUAUCUGAAUUAUGGCAUGCCAACCCAUUUUCUAAAGACAUAAUAUAGUUAUAUCAUCUCAUCAUGUUCACAUAGUCAUCAUAUUUUGAAUUAUGUCAUUCUAUCCGUGAAUUAUAUCAUGCCAUCAUGUUUCCAUCGACGGCAUGUUUGUGAUUUAUGGCAUGCCAACCACUUUAAUAGACACAUCGUAUAGUUAUAUCAUGUCAUCCUGUUUACAUAGUCAUCAUAUUUUGAAGUAUGUCAUUCUAUCCUGUUUAGUUAGCCAUCAUACAUGUGAAAUUGUGUCAUGCUAUCCGGUUUAAUUAGCCAUCAUAUAUGUGAAAUUAUGUCCUGCUAUUCUAUUUGGUUAGACAACAUAAAUGUGAAUUAUUUCAUGCCCUGUUUUCUUCCCUACUAUCCAUUGCACCUGUCUAUCUUAUAAUGUUUGUACAUUCAAUUACUUUUCUUGUUUAUCAGCCAUUUCAAUUGGAGGGCGUGAUGGCAGUAUCUGUGGGAGUAAAAGCACGGUCUUCAGAAAAGAUCGUGCUACCUGUCGAUGGAGAUAGAACCACGGUUGUACUUGCCCAAGAAGCAGCCCCACCACACAUAACCCAGACUCACGCAGAUUGUACCCCUACCCAGUUGGACAGAGAACCAGCUACACCCCUUCUAACCCCAACCCCAGCAGAUAGUAACCCAGUUCCCAUUGACACAGCACCGUCUCCACCACAGAGCACCCAAACACGAGCAGUUAGUAAGGCAACUGCAGUGCCCAAAGCACGAGGACUACCACUCCGAACCCCAAGUCAAUGCUUAAAGCGGAAGAAGAAUUGUUCUCAGGUUAGGUUCCGUAGCUAUGGUUCAUACUACUUUGAUCUUGCAUCACUGUAUUUACUCAUACCAACUAAUUUCAAAUUUGAAGGAUGCAAUUGAAACUCCAAUGGCGCAACAGGUAUGUUUUAAACCUGUUUCUUUAACGUGUUUGCUGUUGUAACUUGCUCUAUGUUGAUUUCAGUUUCAAUUGAAUAAACAGUUAUGUUCUCAUGCCAUGCACAUUACAAGUGUUGUUAUUGCUGUGUAGUUUCCCACACUUAUAUUCUGUCUAUGCUGCUUUGUCUUAAAUAGAUAUGAUUCGAACUGUAUCUAUCUUGAUUUGGCAACAUAAACUAGAAUGAUAUAGACCAUACAGUGACCAUACUACAUAGAUAUAUGUUUGUUUCAUGUUGUUAUCCUGCCCACCUUACUACUGAACUGGUUUACCAAAAUGAGUUUCAUAUACUACAUUGUAAACAUGUGAUGUGUUUCUUUGUUUCUCUUUUAGAACGCGGAUAAAAUAUUGGAGAAGAGUACCCCGUUAUGCAAUGGUAAAGGAAGUAAUGCAGAUAAGGUUCAAGAUAGUGAGACAUCUAUGUUGGUCUCCAAGAAAGCUGAUAAAAACUAUAUUGAAGACACUGAGACAACCACAAAGUCAUGUCUUGAUGUAGUGUUCGAGUUACUGGCUACUACUGCUGGCACCAGCUCUUCGAACUCGCUGCCUGAAUCAGUUCGGCUUCUUGAGUCUCAACUUCAAGUUAAAAGACAUCGAUCAGAUGUUAUACGACGAGAAGCCGAAGGACUGAGGAAGUCCCUGCAGAAUUCAGAUGCAUACUUUCUGGUGCAACAGCAAGUGUUGGAGGAUUUAAGCGCCAAACAAGAAAAAGUUAAUAAGCUUGCUAAGCAUCUUGCCAGCAUUAUGGGUACCUAGGAUAUUGUUUCUUGAGCUCUUCUGAAGUGGUUUCAGUUCUGGACUUGUUUUGCUGCGGCGUUUAUAUGCUGCUUUGUUCCCUAUAUUUGCACUGGUGGCGAACUUUGAUGCCCAGUGGAUGUAAUAUGUGUAAUAGCCGUGAUAGCCUAGCGUAAGUUGCUUGCUUAUUUAUUUCCUUAUUGUCUUGUUUAUUUGUUUUCUUGUAGUCAGCGCAGUUCUUUUUCCGCGGUUUGCUAGUGGCCGCAAUAACCUAUUUUUUAAAACUAGGCCACAUUAACCAUGGGCUAUAUAUUUACUGUAGUUAACAUGGGCCUCCUACGGGCCGUAGAAACAAUGGGCCUUCUACGGGGCGUAGAAACAAUGGGCCUUAUACCGGCCGUAGACACAAUGGGCCUUCUACGGGCCGUAUCAUCAAUGGGCCUUCUACGGGCCGUAUGAUCGGUUCGCCAAAAAUGUGUCAAUAACAGACCACAUUAUGGCCGUAAAUGGGCUAGAGUUGAAAUCGUCCGUUCAUGGGCCGACCAUAAUGGGUCGUCGUUAAUCGGCCGUAUUUGAUGAUGCUAUGAAAACGACCCAACGUAUUAACGGGCCACAAACGGGCCGACUGUAACCACGGGCUGAAUUUGGCCCACAAUAAGAAAAUGACAGUAACGGGCCGAAAGUAAACGAAUGCUGGAAAUGAGCCCAAGAAUAAAUGGGCCCUGAGAAGGCCGAAAGAUAACAUGGGCUGGAAACGGCCCAACGGAAUAAUGGGCCGUUAAUGGGUAUAAAGUGAUACACUGUUCAUUACGGGCCAGUUUUACCACGAGCCGUCAAUGGGCCGAGGGUUACUAAGGGCCUCAUAUGGGCCGAAAGACGUCAUGGGCCAUACAUGGGCUGGAAGUUAAAACGGGCUGGAAUUAUAUUGGACGGCCCAGAUGAUGCUACUGGGCCUAAUUCGGAUAGGCCGUAAACGGGCCCUGGGUUAGCGGGCUGUAAAUGGGCUAUAUGCGAACAGGCCGUUAACAGGCUUGUCGUGAGCCAGCCCACCACCUUUUGACCAAGUCAAACGGGCCGGCCUUUUCACAGGAAUGGGCCUCUGUUGGGCCGUGCCACAUGUCGACGUAUCAUAGGCACUUUGGGUCCAAUGAGUGGAAGACAUCUGUCCCAACGGUGAGCUGACACGUGUUUGCUCCAGCCAAUGAUGAUUUUACACGUGGAAAAUCCCCAUUGGUCGGGGCUGUUAACGGGUUAUCGGAUCCAAAACCGGACCCGAUAGCUUAACGGCGUUCCGUUACGGUGGAUGCCUGAUGUCUACUACACAACCUUCUUCUUGUAGACGUUGUUGGGCCUCCAAGUGCAGAGGUUUGUAGGACAGUAGCAAAUUUCCCUCAAGUGGAUGACCUAAGGUUUAUCAAUCCGUGGGAGGCGUAGGAUGAAGAUGGUCUCUCUCAAACAACCCUGCAACCAAAUAACAAAGAGUCUCUUGUGUCCCCAACACACCCAAUACAAUGGUAAAUUUUAUAGGUGCACUAGUGCGGCGAAGAGAUGGUGAUACAAGUGCAAUAUAGAUGAUAGAUAUAAGUUUUUGUAAUCUGAAAAUAUAAAAACAGCAAGGUAACUAAUGAUAAAAGUGAGCAUAAACGGUAUUGCAAUGCUAGGAAACAAGGCCUAGGGUUCAUACUUUCACUAGUGCAAGUUCUCUCAGCAAUAAUAACAUAAUUGGAUCAUAUAACUAUCCCUCAACAUGCAACAAAGAGUCACUCCAAAGUCACUAAUAGCGGAGAACAAACAAAGAGAUUAUUGUAGGGUACGAAACCACCUCAAAGUUAUUCUUUCAGAUCGAUCUAUUCAAGAGUUCGUACUAGAAUAACACCUUAAGAUACAAAUCAACCAAAACCCUAAUGUAACCUAGAUACUCCAAUGUCACCUCGAGUAUCCGUGGGUAUGAUUAUACGAUAUGCAUCACACAAUCUCAGAGUCAUCUAUUCAACCAACACAAAGAACUUCAAAGAGUGCCCCAAAGUUUCUACCGGAGAGUCAAGACGAAAACGUGUGCCAACCCCUAUGCAUAAGUUCACAAGGUCACUGAACCCGCAAGUUGAUCCCCAAAACAUACAUCAAGUAGAUCACGUGAAUAUCCCAUUGUCACCAUAGAUAAGCACAUGCAAGACAUACAUAAAGUGUUCUCAAAUCCUUAAAGACUCAAUCCGAUAAGAUCACUUCAAAGGGAAAACUCAAUCCAUUACAAGAGAGUAGAGGGGGAGAAACGUCAUAAGAUCCAACUAUAAUAGCAAAGCUCGCGGUACAUCAAGAUCAUGCCAAAUCAAGAACAUGAGAGAGAGAUCAAACACAUAGCUACUGGUACAUACCCUCAGCCCUGAGGGUGAACUACUCCCUCCUCGUCAUGGAGAUCGCCGGGAUGAUGAAGAUGGCCACCGAUGAGGGAUCCCCCCUCCGGCAGGGUGCCGGAACAGGGUCCCGAUUGGUUUUUGGUGGCUACAGAGGCUUGCGGCGGCUGAACUCCGGAUCUAUUCUGUUCCCCGAUGUUUUUAGGGUAUAUGGAUAUAUAUAGGCGAAAGAAUUCGAUAAGGGGAGCCACGAGGGGCCCACGAGGGUGGAGGGCGCGCCCAGGGGGUAGGCGCACCCUGUGCCUCGUGCCUUCCUCAUUGCUUCCCUUACGUACACUCCAAGUCUUCUGGAUUGCUUCCGUUCCAAAAAUAACUCUCCCGAAGGUUUCAUUCCAUUUGGACUCCGUUUGAUAUUCCUUUUCUGUGAAACACUGAAACAAGGAGAAAAACAGAAACUGGCACUGGGCUUUGGGUUAAUAAGUUAGUCCCAAAAAUAAUAUAAAAGUGCAUAGUAAAGCCCAUUAAACAUCCAAGAUGGAUAAUAUAAUAGCAUGAAUACUUCAUAAAUAUAGAUACGUUGGAGAUGUAUCAAUGCCACGUGUCGGUCACCCUUGACGAAAGCACUUCUGUCACGCGCGAUUUAUCGUCAUGGAAGUGGACACUUCCGUGAUGAUAAUUUUGGUAAUGUCAUGGAACACUUCUACGACAGCACAGGUAUGACUAUCUUGAUUCAGUCAUAAAAUUGUCAUGGAUGUACAUGCAUGACAGAAAACGUGACCUACUGUGACAAACACGUAUCAUCGCGGAAGUGUAUUUUUUUGUAGUGGAUCUAGGUGUCAUACCUAGUGCAUCGGGUCCAAUGAAAAUCUUUUGUGACAAUACUGGUGCAAUUGCCUUGGCAAAGGAAUCCAGAUUUCACAAGAGAACCAAGCACAUCAAGAGACGCUUCAAUUCCAUCCGCGAUCAAGUCAAGGAGGGAGACAGAGAGAUUUGCAAGAUACAUACGGAGCUGAAUGUUGUAGACCCGUUGACUAAGCCUCUCUCACGAGCAAAACAUGAUCAGCACCAAGACUCCAUGGGCGUUAGAAUCAUUACUGUGUAAUCUAGAUUAUUGACUCUAGUGCAAGUGGGAGACUGAAGGAAAUAUGCCCCAAAGGCAAUAAUAAAGUUGUUAAUUAUAUUUCCUUAUAUCAUGGUAAAUGUUUAUUAUUCAUGCUAGAAGUGUAUUAACCAGAAAUUUAGUACAUGUGUGAAUAUAUAGACAAACAGAGUGUCACUAGUAUGCCUCUACUUGACUAGCUCGUCGAAUCAAAGAUGGUUAAGUUUCCUAGCCAUAGAUAUGAGUUGUCAUUUGAUUAACGGGAUCACAUCAUUAGGAAUGAUGUGAUUGACUUGACCCAUUCCAUUAGCUUAGCAUUUGAUCAUUUAGUAUAUUGCCAUUGCUUUCUUCAUGACUUAUACAUGUUCCUAUGACUAUGCGAUUAUGAAACUCCCGAAUACCGGAGGAACACUUUGUGUGCUACCAAACGUCACAACGUAACUGGGUGAUUAUAAAGGUGCUCUAUAGGUGUCUCCGAUGGUACUUGUUGAGUUGGCGUAGAUCGAGAUUAGGAUUUGUCACUCCGAUUGUCGGAGAGGUAUCUCUGGGCCCUCUCGAUAAAGCACAUCACUAUUAUCCUUGCAAGCAAUGUGACUAAUGAGUUAGUUGCGGGAUGAUGCAUUACUGAACGAGUAAAGAGACUUGCCGGUAACAAGAUUGAACUAGGUAUUGAGAUACCGACGAUAGAAUCUCGGGCAAGUAACAUACCGAUGACAAAGGGAACAACGUAUGUUGUUAUGCGGUUUGACCGAUAAAGUUCUUCGUAGAAUAUGUGGGAGCCAAUAUGAGCAUCCAGGUUCCGCUAUUGGUUAUUGACCGGAGACGUGUCUCGGUCAUGUCUACAUAGUUCUCGAACCCGUAGGGUCCGCACGCUUAACGUUCGGUGACGAUCGGUAUUAUGAGUUUAUGUCUUUUGGUGUACCGAAGAUAGUUCGGAGUCCCGGAUAUGAUCACGGACAUGAGGAGGAGUCUCGAAAUGGUCGAGACAUAAAGAUUGAUAUAUUGGACGACUAUAUUCGGACGCCAGAUGAGUUUCGGGGGUCACCGGAUAUUUAUCGGAGUGCCGGGGGGUUAUCGGAACCCCCGGGGGAACUAAUGGGCCAAAUGGGCCUUGAGAGAGAGAGGGGGGAGCCAUGGGCUGGCCGCUCCCCCCCCUUGGGAGUCGGAAUUGGACAAGGAGGGGGCGGCGCCCCCUCUUUCCUCCCUCUCUCCCUCUCCUUCCUCCCCCCUUCCCCCUUCCUAGUAGGACUAGGAAAAGGGGAGUCCUACUCCUACUAGGAGGAGGAUUCCCCCUCUCCUUGGCGCGCCCCAAGGCCGGCCAGCCUCCCCCCUUGCUCCUUUAUAUACGGGGGCAGGGGGCACCCUAGAACACACAAAUUGAUCAUUGAUCUCUUAGGUGUGUGCGGUGCCCCCUCCACCAUAAUCCACCUCGGUCAUAUCAUCGUAGUGCUUAGGCGAAGCCCUGCGCCGGUAGCUUCAUCAUCACCGUCAUCACGCCGUCGUGCUGACGAAGCUCUCCCUCGACACUUUGCUGGAUCGUGAGUUCGUGGGACGUCACCGAGCUGAACGUGUGCAGAUCGCGGAGGUGCCGUACGUUCAGUACUAGGAUCGGUCGAUCGUGAAGACGUACGACUGCAUCAAUCGCGUUGUCAUAACGCUUCCGCUUACAGUCUACGAGGGUACGUGGACAACACUCUCCCCUCUCGUUCCUAUGCAUCACCAUGAUCUUGCGUGUGCGUAUGAUUUUUUUUUGAAAUUACUACGUUCCCCAACAACUCAGUGAUCAGUUGUACAUGGGAGAUCGGCGAUGAGGAGGAGACGACUCCGAGGACGCGCUGCUCCGAUUCUUCUUCCAAUGUGCGGGACUGCACAUCUAGUGGUCAUCUUGUGAUCUAUUUCCUAAGCAUGCUCCUGGGUGAUGUACACGGUAGGAUUAAGUUUUAAUUGGCAAUAGUUGCACGCCGCGCAGCGCAACAUGUGUUUAACCCUUUGUCCACUCUUGGGGAAUACCCAUGGGUUUUACCCAAUAGUGUUUGACAUCUAAACUAUUGAUGACGAAGGCUGAAAAUGAUCUUUGGUCUUCAAUGGGUUUUGGUGACUAAUGAGAAGACGAUCAAGAGUAUUUUGUUUUAUGAAGUUUAUUUUAGGAAUAUAAUCCUCACUAGUGAGUGGAAACAUCAUUUGUGACUCCUACUUUUGUUCUAACAAGUGGUUGGCCCUUCUAGCUCAUAGCUUGUAUGUUAUAGACUGUUGAUGAAUUCAAGAUUCAAAUUGAGGUUAAGUACAACUGUACUAUUCAGAGGGGUACAUGCAAAUUAACUCGAGAUGAACUUUAUCUCAAGAUCCAAAAUAAAAUUGGCAAGUUUUCCAAAUCUUACCCUCUAAUUUCUCAACUAUUAGUUUUCCCAGUACUUCUUGUGUUUUUACCUGGUACUAUUGAUCAUGUGACGAUUGAGUAUUUAUCCUGAGCUAACCUAGUUUUCUAGGUCUGCUUUAGGAACGCCGAGAGUUCUUCUCCAACACCACUGAGUUGUGUUUUCUUUAAGACCAUCUUUGUUAGCUCUGGUACCUUGGAGCAUAACAUUUGGCACUUCCGAGCACCUCUUGGUGCUUCAUCUCAACGUCUCAUCAUAGGUAUGGUACUCCAUAGCGAAAUCGAUAUGAUACCUCUGAGCUUAUACUAACCCCUUCUACAUCAAUUCCUUGUGAGAACUACUCCGUCGACCCUUGUACCUCCAAGAUCUUUUCUCUGGACUUCAGAGCAUGUCCUAUCUCUCACAGAAAUGAGGUAUAUUUGUGUUUGGUACCUUCGACCUUUUGUUUCAAGGAACAUCAAGUAUUUAGAUUUCUAGACGCUUGCUGGAUAAGCUAGUACCUCUGAGUACCGUGCACCUUCUAGGAACACUGAGUUUCCAUUUGAAAUUUUGAAAGCAUUCGUUAGCACUGAGUUUUUUUCCUCUAGAACUUUCGGCUAGUUACUUUUCCAGAGAAAUAAUAAGAUUUAUGCAUUCUCUAUAUAAAUCCCACACCUCUUGAGUGUAUGAGCAGUUGUGAGCAUGCUUAAGAGACUGUGAGAUCCUAGAGAGCAGUUCUUUGUGCGUUUGAAUGACACGUUCCUCCCUUUCUUGAAUCCCUUAUCUAUGGGCUCCAUCUCUCUUUGCUUCAACCUUAUCCUUGAGAGAGAGAGAGAGAGAAUGGGGUUCCUCCGAGAGUUUGGUUGAAGGAGUUUUGAGGAGUUCAUCCAAGUGGAUUUGCUUUGCUUGUUAUUAUUAGAGGGUGUGCACCUCCUAGGCAGUUAAGAGUCACUUGAAAGCCUUCAAGGCAUGAAAUAAUCAAAAGAAUGUACAAGGUCGUUGAUUGUCAUCUUCAUGCAAGAUCAACCUCAAGUGAAGCUUUCAUUUUUAUGGUAUCAAGUCUAUGGUGGAAUAGGUGGGCAAGUGUUUUGUGGCAUCUUUGUGAGUGUCGUUGUGGACACCUUUCUGGUAUCAAGACUUGGUCUCUGAACCUCCCCAGCAAGGAGUAGGAUUGCACAACUAUUUGGAUCUUGGGAAAACACUGUCGCAUCAAGUGUGUUUACAUCUCUUUUCCCUAAUGAUGUCCCACAAGUGUAGGGGAUUGAUUGUAGAUCUUAUCUAUAAGUAAAAGUGUCGUUCACAUCAGGAGCAGAAGGAAUUGAUAAGUGCAAAAGUAUCAAGGAUUCACUACAAGUGCUAAAAGGUGUAGUGGUUUGUGGUGAUGGAGUUGCAAAGAAAUUUAAAUAACAAUAAAAACUAACAGUGUGCAUCAAGUGGCCCAAUCCUUACUGAUAUCAAGGACGAGCCGGUUGUGUUACUUAUGGUGAUCAAACAUUCUCGAGUACAACGAGAAUAUUGCAUAUUUGUUAAUUUAUACCUAAAUCUAUUAAAACCAUUAAGCUACGCAUGAAGGGCGGCCAAUCAGCUAUGCCACAUGGCGCAAGCUGGUUGGCCGUGGCUACGCAUGAAGGGCGGCCAACCAGCUAUGCCACUUGACACAAGCUGGUUGGCCGUGGUGAGAAAUCUUUUGGAUUCUUUUUAGAUGAAGGUGUGGAUUAUUUUUUAUAUUUAUUUUUUCUUUUUAGAUGAACAUGAGGACCUCUCGUAUUUUUUAAAUGGAGGGUUAUGCAAAGUGGCACUCGCCAGUAGGCUGCGGUGGUAAUUUUUUACCUUUUUACCUUUUUUAGAUGAAGAUGAUGAAUUUUUCUGAGAUGCUUUUUUAGACAGAGGCGAGGACUCUAUGUAUUUUUCUUAAAAAUGAAAACGUGCGCAUAGCUUCCUCUCAAGUGGCGCCAUAGGGUGGCGCCCCAACCACUAGUAUUCUACAAAACCAUUGACUCCUUAGCAAGCAUAUGCAACUACUAUGAGAAAUUAAGACAAAAAGUCAAACCAUAGCCAUCUUCUCUAGGGUCUCUAUUCAUCACUCAUGUUCUGAUUCACAAACUCAAGGAACGGUCAUUCUGUCACUCUGGCAUCAUAUUUUGAACUUAUUUUAACACAAUGCUCUCCUGUCAGGCCCAUAUAGGUGAAGUGAUACGCAGUCAAAGGUUGAAUACCACCACUAUAGAAUUACACCACAGCAUGCUCGAACAACAAUCUUUAUUGCAAAUUUAUAUGUCCAUUAAAAACUAGUUUUCUCCCAUGUGCUCAAGAACACUAUGGAACUACUCACGGCACAUCAUAAUGAGCAUAUUUAGAGGUGUAAUGAUAAAUAUGACAAUAUGAAAGUACAAAUCAUUCACCAAUAAAGCACACAACGUCAACCGCCAAAGCAUCAAUUAAAACAAAUAAGUGAUAACAGUAACUGAUCCACUCCAAUUGUACAUAGAUAGAUGGAGAUGGAAAAUAGGGUGAUGGUGUUGCUGGGGGAGAUGAUGAAGAUGUUCCCUUUGAUGCACCAGAGUUGGUGAUGACGAUUACUUCAAAUUCCUCCUGCUAGAGAGGACAUGUCUUAACGGAAACAAUCAUCCAAGAAGAGACAUAGGGUUCUACCUCGAAGAGGCAAUAGAAAAGUUCUUGAAAAACGAUAUACAGUCUACGCCUCUAGGGGAGGGCAUAUGCAUCGGAGAGGACACCUGGCGAGGCCUAUGGAUCCCAAACGCCAUGUGUAGGCAUCUUGGCAGGUAGGGCGCCUAGGGUGGGCCCACCAGGCACCCCGUGGCUACCUCAUAGUGGCCUAGUGACUUUUUUCAUACAUAUAUCAACCCGUAUUUUUAUUAUAUAUUUAUGUUCUUGAGAGAAUAUAUUUUCUUCAUGAGCUUUUAUUUUCCCCUUCUGGCAGCCUCUUCCGUAAUUAUUUAGGCAAUUUUCUACAUUAUAAGAUAAAUCCAAGUCAAAAAGAAUAAAAAAUAAUUUAGUAUGCAUAAAAGUAGAGUACUCAUCCUCGGAGAUUGUAAUGCAAAAGCACGUGUUACUUAACUCCUACUCCCUCUAUAAAGAAAUAUAGUAGCAUUUAGAUCACUACUUUAGUGAUCUAAACGCUCUUAUAUUUCUUUACGAAGGGAGUACUUCCUUGCAAGUUUAGCUUUUGCAUUCCUACUUUGUUUUAGACUUCCAUUUGUAGGCGUUUCUAAGGUUCCAAAUAGAAAAGCUAAAGCUUGACUAACAUAAAAUUUGGAGUAGAAUUUAUUUGAUAAGAAUAUUAACCCCCUCCCCCACUAUUCCAUAGAACUCGGUCCAGCAUGGACCUUUAUGACACUACAGGAUAUCUAGCAACCUAGACAACACAUUGUCAUCAUAGAGAGUCCAACUUUCAUUAAAAAGAUGUAUGAAUUUUGCAAGAAAAAUACAAGCUUCACAAGUUGAGGGUCAUUAGCCUCAACUUUUGGUGUUUUUGCUGAAAACUCGGUGAAGAAAUCUAGAUGACACAUUGUUGUAAUGUACCAAAAUCACCAUGAACUCUUCUCCCGCUUUGGUCUGAAUGUGUGUGUGUGUGACACGUGGGACUUUAGGUGUCAUAUAUUAUGACAAUUUGUUUUGGCAAAAACAUACGGGUCAGGUCCUGCUACAAUGGUAUGCCUUUUCCAACAUGAUGUCGGCUCGACCCAUUUUUGGACAAAUACAUCCAAUAACUACAACCCACUUUGAGUUGUGCCCAACUUGCCGGUCUACCCCGUUUAGUGUCAAACGCAUCUUCACAUGUUUUGGGUUAAGCUUGUUUUUAUACUCGUUUAGACCGAGCAUAUUCUUCUGUCUGUUUGUCAUAGUUCUUAUGAUUGGGCCUAUCAAAAGGCCCACUUAAGAAUUGUUGCGGUUAAGCCUAUUUAGAAGGUCCACUUAAGAUCAAAAUAAACCCUAGCUUCCCCUAUAUAUAUAGUCCUACACCAUCCACCUUAUUCUACACCGCUUCUAGUCUAGUACCUAGAUAUGACAACCAUUCACCUUUUAUCUCCGCCGUCUCAUCUCCCAUGGUCACAACAAUCGCCAUAGCUUGUAAAAUGUUUCGCCGCAUCGACCCCUCCAAUAAAUCUCCCAACCCCAGGCUACCCUAAUCUUGGAGCUCCCUCUUCAAUCGGUACUAUUCUGAAUUUUGUUUGUUUACAAUCAAAUAGUGAUAGAUUUGAUGUAAGAUAUUAUAUCUAAUCUGUGCAUAUGUUUUUUUAUUUGUAUUUUGGAUGAUAUUGGUUUAGAUCUAUGAACACAAUAGAUGUCUGGUCGUUAUAUUUUUGCGGCGGCGGUGCGUUUGCUACGAUAACAUGGUGUUUGCUUAGUAAGUGAGGAAAGAUAUUGUACCAUGCACUACAUGGAAAUGAUGUCACAACGACGCGGUGGCCGGCAAGGGUGUGGCGGCGGCGUUUGUGAGAGGGAGGUUGUGAGGAUGAGGGUGUUUUGGUGUUUAAGUUGUUGAUAGUGUGGUUCAAAAAAUAUUUAUCCUUUUCUUUAGGGUUGAAAAGGUUAGUUCAUAAUUGGAAACAAAGUAGAAUUGCGGGACAGGAUUUGUGGCACGCAGAUGAGGGGGUAUCGAACCCCUCGCGCAUGCUUUUUCUGUUGAUUUUCAAUUCAAAACUUUCAUAUAUUUCCAACCAAAAGUUUAAAUUAAGUUCUGUUUUGAGAUUCAUGUUGCUUGUGAAUAUGUUUGGUAAGUUUUAAGUGUCAAAACUUAAUAGGAAUGGAUGACAAAAUGGUAAAGAUUAAGAACUGAAUCUGUAAGAAUCGGGACUAGAUCUUAGAAAAUGUAAAACGACUUCACGGAUCCCGGAACAAUCGUGCGGCCGGGUUGGGCUGCGGAAGUGCGUGCCCCCGAGAGUUUUCGAUAGAGUUGGUUAGAUUUGACACCUUUCCGCUUUCAUUAAUUCUUCAUAUAUCUCUUCAAAGAAAAUCUUAAAUUUGAGUGUAAUUAAUAUAUUAAUAUUUUUCAAAAAAUCAAUUAAUGUAUUAAUCGACAUGUUGAUUUCCCUGUACUCCAUUUGCAUUUGUUUUUGGGAAAGCAAAGAUAGCGAUAGAUCCGCAUAUUUGGAAACACGGCCGGCGAGACCGCGUUCGGUCGGUCGGUCGGUUAAUUUGUACUCUAUCCGUUUACGAACCCAACUCGACGGCCAAGGAAAAAAGAGUAGGACUCUCGGCGCCCAAGGAACCUUCCCUUAUAUGCGCGUCCCUCCUUUCCAAUUGUGCAGGUCAUGACGCAGCGCCCAAACAAAACUCUUCCUCCGUGGAGCGGCGCGUACAAGAUCGACGAAAUCCAGGUUGCCUGUCUCCGUCACGCUCACGCCGCCAAGGGAGAUCUCCCGUGAGGUGGAAUGGAGAAAGAAUCCCGACCCGCUGAGUAUCACCGGCUCGAGCCGGAGGAACCAGAGCCCGUCGCCAGCCCUGGCGCCGCCGCCGCCGCGGGUCCCAUCUACGACGUGUACAUGGACGAGUUGGAGGCGGAGGAGGCGUACCUGGAGGGCCUCGACGUCCCCGCGGGUCCCGUCGUCCUCGACGCGGACACGGAGGAGGCCGUGGCGGCGGCGGUGGAGGCGGAGCGGCAGGCCGCCAUGGCCGCCGACGAGGAGAUGGCGCACGCGCUGCACAUGCAGGACCUCGUGGAGGCGGAGGAGUGGGAGCUGCGUGACCUGGACCUGGAGCAGCCGCCCGGCGACUACCCCGCCUCCUCCAGGGCCGGCGUCGGCUUCGGCGCCAGGGCCACCGCGGAUAACUUCUUGGAGUUGGAGAGACAGAGCGGGACCUUCGAGAGCAUCCAUGAGGUGGAGAGCGGAACCGUCUUCCUCGGCAAUUCGAGAAUCCCGGAACCCCUCGAGUGUCUGGAAAGUCUGCCAGGCCCAAGCACUGCCGGCGUCGCCGCAUCUCCGGCGAGACGGACCAUCCUCUCCCAAAACGCCGCCGGCUCCUCGUCAAGCCAGCAAGUCCCCGGACACGGGGUAGCCGCUACUGUGCCAAGCGUGACCCCGCCCGUCAGCUUCGUCCCAUCGACAAGAAGAUGCGGCGCUCUCUGCGCGAUCGCCCCGCGGGCAAGACCAAUCGGUCCUUUCGACGACCCCGUUUCCGUGAAAAGACGGGCCCUCCUCGCCGACGCCGCCUCAUCGGUUAUGUUCCCCGCAAUGCAAGAAGGGCACGACAACGGCUGGUACGAGUGCAUCGUCCUCGACGCUGCUGUGAAGCUAGAGCAGCCGGAGAAGCAGGGAUUGCUCGAAUCUUUGCAGCUGUGCCUUCCAAGAUCUGAUGAACCCUGCAAGCCCGCCGUCGCGGCCGCCGGCGAAGAAGAAGAGGAAGAAGAGGGCGGAUUCUCCCUUCCGAAGUUCUGCCAGAGGUGGGGCGUCAGCCCGUCCGACCUCGAGCCCGACGCGCCCGGCCCGUCGACGGCGAAGGUGCCCCCUCUGGCCGACGACGAGGUGCCCACGUUCGACUGCGGCAUCUGCAUGGACACCCUCCCCGUCUUCGACCUCUUCCACGGGCUCCCCUGCAAGCACAAGUUCUGCGCGACGUGCAUGACCACGUACGUGGAGGGCAGGAUCCGGGCGAGCGAGCUGCCCAUCCCGUGCCCCGACGCGGCGUGCAAGGGCAAGGAGAACGCCGUCCUCCACCCGGAGAAGUGCAAGAAGGCGAUCGACUACGGCGCGUUCGGCGACUGGGGCGCCCGGCUCACCGAGAGCGCGCUCCCGCCGGACCGGCGCGCGUACUGCCCGAACCGGCGGUGCGGGGUCAUCCUGGAGACGAGCGGCCAGGCGGAGCCGGCCAUGGCGCCGUGCCCGGCGUGCAAGCACCUGCUGUGCGCCACCUGCGGCAUGGAGUGGAGCCCGGACGGGGCGGCCGGCGAGCACGACUGCGCCAAGGGCCCCGACGCCGCGCUCGUGCGGAGGCUCGCGCAGGAGCGCCAGUGGAAACAGUGCCCGAGCUGCAGGAUGAUCGUCGAGAGGAGCUUCGGAUGCAAUCGAAUGACAUGCAGGUAUUACUCUCAGUCUCAUCUCAAUUGAUCCUUUAUGCUCUGUUAAUUUCCUGUUAUCUGAAUUUAUUUCACAUAUCAAGUUUUCUAGAGCUAAGUAAAACACUUAAUUAUUAGCUGUAUUCAUCAGGGGGGAAGGGAACUAUCAUUGUCAUCUUUAUGUUUUACAUCAUCUAGUGUAGUAAAACCUACUACCAACACUUAGUUCAAAGUACUUUACCGUGCAUAAUUCGUAUUCAAAUGUAAAACAUUUUCAUAAGUAUCGUCGGAUGAGUAGGAAAUAUCAAACCUCAAAAUGAUUUGGUACACUUGGUUUGCUGAGCUCUUGCGCGGCCAUGUUUUUUGGCAUGUUUAGGACAUAUUCAACGAUGACCCGCAAAUUCCUUCGGUAUUUGUUCGAAAAUCGGUAUGGACCAAUGUCUGGACACUGAUACAAAAGCCGGCCAUUGAACCGUACCCGCAUCCAUUUGAAAACAAUUAUGUGUUAGUAAAAUAAAACAGCUUCCACCAAGGUAAAAUAAAACACCUUUCACAAACUUGUUGCUUCCGCCAAACACCUUCCGUUCAAUUGUGUGUUAGUAAAAUAAUCAAUUAAGCUCACUAAUGCACACCAUCCGCGAAACACCUUUCGUUCACAUGCACACCUUCCGCCAAAUUACCUUCUGUUCAAUUGUGUGUUAGUAAAAUAAUCAAUUAAGCUUACUAGUAUACACCUUCCGCCGAACACCUUCCGCCAAACACUUGCAUGAUUCAUACUAACUCCGUCUUAAAAUAAGUGUCUCAACUAGUACAAAGUUGUAUUAAGUUUAAGACACUUAUUUUGGGACAGAGGGAGUAGUAGUUUCCGCCAAAGCAAAAAAAUUAGCCGCAGCUAUUCGCCAUCUGGAUGGAGAGCGGACACGUGGUUGCUUUUGGUUCAUCAUGUGGAUGUCCAGACUCCCGUAAAGCUUCCCACAUUUGUCUUCAGUUUGCCAAAAAACGUCCGGACCGCCCGCGAACCGAUACAGAACCGUGUUGGAUGACAAAUUGUGUCCGGACAGCGUGGUCCGGAAGCUUGCGGGAGGUUUGUGGGUCCGUCUUGGAGAUGCCCUAAGGACAUCAUGAGAAUCUGGUGUUGUUAUUGCAAAAUGAAAAAGAAUCCGGUACGGUGUUGUUUUUCAAUAAGCUGUGCUGUAUUGUUUCGGCCGGUUAACUCAAUUGAUUGUGGCCAACUUGAUUGGUUACAAGUUGCAACUGGUCACCAAGACAUGCCGUUUUUAGCUUCUGAGACAACCUGCAGUGAUCAACAUAUAAACGAUAUUUUUCUUCUUCACAAAGCUCAUGGUCAUAUAAACGAUAUUUUUCUUCAAAUACAGUUUUGUAAUCUAGUUUAAAAAAAUUUGGCUGCACGAAUUAUAUAGAGGUAUAUAUGUAAGGUCUGAUGUUCUAUCACUCCCAUGUUUGCACCGUUUGCUGAUGUGUGUAUCUGAAUCUGCCAGUGCAUAUACAUCACACUGCCUUUCGAUGUAUAAUGCUAUCAUUUUUUUAAAUUCCUAUAUAGUUUGCACCGUUUGCACUCGUCCAUUCCUAUAUGUUUUGCGUUUCGAACGCCAUACUGACUGAACUGUUUUGUGUUGAAGGUGCGGCUUCGUCUUCUGCUACCAGUGCGGGCGCCCCAUGAGCAGGGGGCAGCCGGGAUUUGCAGGCCAGCUGGAGCCAUGCCGGUGCCACGACGCCGGGCUCGCGUUCGCCUUCGCGCACCACCACCAGGCCCACCACAUCGAACUGAACGUGCCGGCGCUGCCCCCGCUCCAGGAGGAGGAGGCGGCGGCGGUGGAGGCCAUCCUCAUGAACAGGCUGCCGGUGUGGGACGCAGAGCCGGAGGAGCCGCCCGUUGUCCCCGCAGACGGGCCGCGCCGCCGGCAGGAGGAGGACGACGGCAUUCACCAGCCCGGCCAUCAAGAUGACCCAGACGUGGAAAUGGAAAACUUCUUUUACUAGUUGGCUUGGUUCGAUCGGUUGUGUCUCUGCAUGCACAGGGGAGCUGGACGGCGACAUGCGUGGCCGAGUGUUCUUCAUCUCUCUGGUAGAUGAUGACAAUGUCUGUUUCCUUCCCGGUUGGGGUUCGAUGAAUUUUAUACAAGUUUGGAUGAUUGGAUUGCUGAGUGUAUCGGACUUCAGUAUCCCAUAUGUGUUAAACUAUUACAUGCCACAUAUUCUACUUCCGUUCUACUAAAGUGAUCUAAACACUCUUACAUUUUUUAAUGGACGGGGUAUAAUGUAGUGUGUAUAAUUUUUUUGAAAAGUCAAGCUUCAUG